CGUCAGGUAGCUCAGUGGUUUAGAGCAGUUCCCUGGCAAGCGAAAGACCCGGGUUCGAUUCCCGGUCUAGCGA
Molecule: transfer RNA, 73 nt
Filed under: Harpegnathos saltator (Jerdon's jumping ant)
Lineage: Eukaryota; Metazoa; Arthropoda; Insecta; Hymenoptera; Formicidae
Rfam family: tRNA
About the family: Transfer RNA (tRNA) molecules are approximately 80 nucleotides in length.
Source: Rfam by way of RNAcentral